UUGAUCAAUUGCAUUUUAGGAAUCAUAUUCAAAUUAAAAAACCCAUUGAUGAUCAACAAUUGACAGAGCACAUCACUGCUAGUUUACAUAUGCCUCAGCUCUCUCUUGUUCGAGCUGCACAUGCUUAAGAUAUAGGCGACUGUUCUUAUUAUCUGUGGUCUUAUUUCUCAGGAAUUCCCAGAUUAUGUACCAUACAAAAC
RNAcentral lists this long non-coding RNA (200 nucleotides) under Linum usitatissimum (flax). Its description in RNAcentral is "long non-coding RNA (LUSI_LNC000265)". Lineage: Eukaryota; Viridiplantae; Streptophyta; Magnoliopsida; Malpighiales; Linaceae. The record is from RNAcentral.